AAUGAAUUAAGAGGCAACUCUUAACUGACCAUCUAGCGAAAAAUCGAGAGAUUCAAGACUAGAGGGCAGAAAACUCUGCGGAGUAGCGCUAUAAUCGUGGAGUGAAAGGCAUGGCGGUAGCGCAUACAACGACGUGCCAA
Molecule: small RNA, 140 nt
Filed under: uncultured Candidatus Pelagibacter sp.
Lineage: Bacteria; Pseudomonadati; Pseudomonadota; Alphaproteobacteria; Candidatus Pelagibacterales; Candidatus Pelagibacteraceae
Description: IMES-2 RNA motif
Rfam family: IMES-2 RNA motif
Source: RNAcentral